ACGGAUACUGCCAGUGACAAACUGGAGGAAGGCGGGGACGACGUCAAGUCAUCAUGGCCCUUACGACCAGGGCUACACACGUGCUACAAUGGUCGGUACAAAGGGUUGCUACCUAGCGAUAGGAUGCUAAUCUCAAAAAGCCGAUCGUAGUCCGGAUUGGAGUCUGCAACUCGACUCCAUGAAGUCGGAAUCGCUAGUAAUCGCGGAUCAGAAUGCCGCGGUGAAUACGUUCCCGGGCCUUGUACACACCGCCCGUCACACCAUGGGAAUUUGUUGCACCAGAAGUAGGUAGUCUAACCGCAAGGAGGACGCUUACCACGGUGUGGCCGAUGACUGGGGU
Molecule: ribosomal RNA, 340 nt
Filed under: uncultured bacterium
Lineage: Bacteria
Description: bacterial SSU rRNA
Rfam family: Bacterial small subunit ribosomal RNA
Source: RNAcentral